GGAGGAUUACCAAAGUCUGGCUGAAGGUAACGGUAUUGAAAACCGUCAGGCGUGUAAAAGCGUGUGUGGGUUCGAAUCCCAUAUCCUCUU
RNAcentral lists this transfer RNA (90 nucleotides) under Lactococcus lactis. Its description in RNAcentral is "tRNA-Ser". It matches the Rfam family "tRNA". Rfam says of the family: Transfer RNA (tRNA) molecules are approximately 80 nucleotides in length. Their secondary structure includes four short double-helical elements and three loops (D, anti-codon, and T loops). Lineage: Bacteria; Bacillati; Bacillota; Bacilli; Lactobacillales; Streptococcaceae. The record is from RNAcentral. RNAcentral also lists the same sequence under 2 other names.